AGCGAACGCUGGCGGCGUGCUUAACACAUGCAAGUCGAACGUGAAAUGUAGCAAUACAGAGUAAAGUGGCGUACGGGUGAGUAACACGUGGGUAAUUUUCCAAAGAGUUUGGAAUAACCGGCCGAAAGGCUGGCUAAUACUGGAUAGAUCAAGCGCCCUGUAGAGGUGCGAUUGGGAAAGGGAGCGGGUAACCGCCUUCGCUUUUUGAUGAGCCCGCGUUUGAUUAGUUAGUUGGUGAGGUAACGGCUCACCCAGACGAUGAUCAGUAGCUGGUUUGAGAGGAUGAUCAGCCCCCCUGGAACUGAAACCCGGUCCCGACUCCUACGGGAGGCAGCAGUGGGGAAUUUUGCGCAAUGGACGAAAGUUUGACGCAGCCCCGCCGCGUGAGUGAAGAAGGCCUUCGGGUUGUAAAGCUUUGUUGGAAGGGACAAAAACGUUUCGGGUUAAUAGCCCGAGAUCUUGAUGGUACCUUUAAAGGAAGCCCCGGCUAACUUCGUG
This 498-nucleotide ribosomal RNA is filed under the name uncultured bacterium. RNAcentral's name for it is "bacterial SSU rRNA". It matches the Rfam family "Bacterial small subunit ribosomal RNA", at positions 29 to 507 of the family's 1533-position model. The record is from RNAcentral.